AGUUGGUGGAUUGAUUUGUCUGCUUUAUUGCGAUAACGAACGAGACCUUAACCUGCUAAAUAGCAGUAUGAACAUUCGUGUUGGUACUUGCUUCUUAGAGGGACUGACUGCAAAAAGCAGUUGGAAGUUUGAGGCAAUAACAGG
Molecule: ribosomal RNA, 144 nt
Filed under: uncultured eukaryote
Lineage: Eukaryota
Description: partial small subunit ribosomal RNA
Rfam family: Eukaryotic small subunit ribosomal RNA
Source: RNAcentral